This 72-nucleotide transfer RNA is filed under the name Candidatus Poribacteria bacterium. Its description in RNAcentral is "tRNA-His". It matches the Rfam family "tRNA". From Rfam's summary of the family: Transfer RNA (tRNA) molecules are approximately 80 nucleotides in length. Their secondary structure includes four short double-helical elements and three loops (D, anti-codon, and T loops). The record is from RNAcentral. Lineage: Bacteria; Candidatus Poribacteria.
GUGGAUGUAGCUCAGGGGCAGAGCGCUUGACUGUGGAUCAAGAGGGCGUGGGUUCAAAUCCCAUCAUCCACC